Molecule: ribosomal RNA, 439 nt
Filed under: uncultured bacterium
Lineage: Bacteria
Description: partial 16S ribosomal RNA
Rfam family: Bacterial small subunit ribosomal RNA
Source: RNAcentral
CCUACGGGUGGCAGCAGUGGGGAAUAUUGCACAAUGGGCGAAAGCCUGAUGCAGCGACGCCGCGUGAGCGAUGAAGGCCUUCGGGACGUAAAGCUCUGUCCUCAAGGAAGAAAAUGACGGUACCUGACGAGGAAGCCCCGGCUAACUACGUGCCAGCAGCCGCGGUAAUACGUAGGGGGCAAGCGUUAUCCGGAAUUACUGGGCGUAAGGGGAGCGUAGGUGGAGUCUAAAGUCGGAGGUGAAAGGCUAGGGCUUAACCGUAAUACGCCUUUGAAACUGGGGAGCUUGAGUGCAGGAGAGGUAAGCGGAAUUCCUAGUGUAGCGGUGAAAUGCGUAGAUAUUAGGAGGAACACCAGUGGCGAAGGCGGCUCACUGGACUGUAACUGACGCUGAGGCUCGAAAGCGUGGGGAGCAAACAGGAUUAGAUACCCGAGUAGUC